UUUGUCGAUUAAGAUUAAACGUUUGGAAUUUUUGAACGAUAAUACAUAGUUCUAAAUUUAAUAUCACACAGACACGGUUAAUAUAAAUGCAUCUAUUACUGUAGUACACUCGUAUAUCUAUUAACCCGUGGCACUAGAACGUGUGCGCUUUUGUACGAUACGAUUUUUUUUCUCUCAUCCUAUUUUGGCGCACAUGUCCUCCGCCGGUGCUCAACGAUAAACCAGUGCGAUCGAUUUUGAGCAUUUCAGUUGAUACCUUAUCGAUUGGAACAAGAUUUCUGAAAGAAAAGUUACUUUCUGACA
This is a non-coding RNA of Cinara cedri, 303 nucleotides long. Lineage: Eukaryota; Metazoa; Arthropoda; Insecta; Hemiptera; Aphididae. The record is from the annotation of a GenBank genome assembly.